ACGCUCGACACCUACGGGAGGCAGCAGUUGGGAAUAUUGGACAAUGGAGGAAACUCUGAUCCAGUGACGCCGCGUGAAGGAAGAAGGUCUUCGGAUUGUAAACUUAUUUUGUCAGGGAAGAAAAAAUGACUGUACCUGAAGAAAAAGCACCGGCUAACUACGUGCCAACAGCCGNGGUAAUCUGAGCGGGCUGGCAAGGC
RNAcentral lists this ribosomal RNA (200 nucleotides) under uncultured bacterium. RNAcentral's name for it is "partial 16S ribosomal RNA". It matches the Rfam family "Bacterial small subunit ribosomal RNA", at positions 328 to 539 of the family's 1533-position model. The record is from RNAcentral.